RNAcentral lists this unclassified non-coding RNA (492 nucleotides) under Eucodonia verticillata. RNAcentral describes it as "partial external transcribed spacer". The record is from RNAcentral. Lineage: Eukaryota; Viridiplantae; Streptophyta; Magnoliopsida; Lamiales; Gesneriaceae.
CAUGGCUUAAUCUUUGAGACAAGCAUAUGACUACUGGCAGGAUCAACCAGGUAGCAUUCCUCAUCGACGUUGAGACCGUAUGAGCCAAAGCCAUAAAGACCAAGUCAAAACGGCCACAACCGUCGUUCGCACAUAGCGUUGAAGCUGAAUUAAGGGCAAAAAGUGACCAACGACUCAUGCCCAAUACGGUGUUCCAAAACCGAGAGAACGAGCAACGAUCAUGACCCAACAUACCAAGCACAUGCAUGCAAGGAGAGUGGAACACAAUCAACGCUUUCACGUUCACUCCAUGCCACAAUCCGAGGGACGCAACACAAAGCGAAACUGAAAUUUAGCACAAUGAAUGCCCUUUCAAAAUGGAAUACAGCACAAGAAACCAACUUCCCGCAAAGGCACAACAUGCUUAAGCCAAGAAUUGAAGAGACACGCAUGGUACGUUGUCGCUGCCUGAACAGGGAUCCAACAUAUCAAAACGAAUCAAUCACCACUCAG